RNAcentral lists this ribosomal RNA (489 nucleotides) under uncultured bacterium. Its description in RNAcentral is "partial 16S ribosomal RNA". It matches the Rfam family "Bacterial small subunit ribosomal RNA", at positions 30 to 506 of the family's 1533-position model. The record is from RNAcentral.
AUUGAACGCUGGCGGCAGGCCUAACACAUGCAAGUCGAACGGUAACAGGAAACAGCUUGCUGUUUCGCUGACGAGUGGCGGACGGGUGAGUAAUGUCUGGGAAACUGCCUGAUGGAGGGGGAUAACUACUGGAAACGGUAGCUAAUACCGCAUAACGUCGCAAGACCAAAGAGGGGGACCUUCGGGCCUCUUGCCAUCGGAUGUGCCCAGAUGGGAUUAGCUAGUAGGUGGGGUAACGGCUCACCUAGGCGACGAUCCCUAGCUGGUCUGAGAGGAUGACCAGCCACACUGGAACUGAGACACGGUCCAGACUCCUACGGGAGGCAGCAGUGGGGAAUAUUGCACAAUGGGCGCAAGCCUGAUGCAGCCAUGCCGCGUGUAUGAAGAAGGCCUUCGGGUUGUAAAGUACUUUCAGCGGGGAGGAAGGGAGUAAAGUUAAUACCUUUACUCAUGGACGUUACCCGCAGAAGAAGCACCGGCUAACUCCGU